CUGCCGCCAAUUAAGAUUACCAGGUUCCUUUCCUCGUGGGGCCUGGGGUGCAGGGUCUGUGGACAGCAGCCUCCUUGGUAGUGCAGUACCUGUUGCUUGGUCAGGUGGCCCUAAGGACCUUGGAGACAGUU
Small nucleolar RNA from Jaculus jaculus (lesser Egyptian jerboa), 131 nucleotides. Its record names the gene SNORA70. It matches the Rfam family "Small nucleolar RNA SNORA70". Rfam says of the family: snoRNA U70 seems to be exclusive to mammals and is a member of the H/ACA class of snoRNA which contain H (ANANNA) and ACA box motifs. H/ACA box snoRNAs are involved in the conversion of uridines to pseudouridines (5-ribosyluracil) a constituent of structural RNAs (transfer, ribosomal, small nuclear, and small nucleolar). Lineage: Eukaryota; Metazoa; Chordata; Mammalia; Rodentia; Dipodidae. The record is from Ensembl.